GACAGAGGCCCCGAGCGUUAGUCGGAAUUACUGGGCUUAAAGGGUGCGUAGGCGGGCGCGUAAGUGUCUUGUGAAAGCCCCGGGCUCAACCCGGGAAUUGCGGGGCAUACUGCGCGUCUCGAGGAAGCUAGAGGCCGGUGGAACGAUCGGUGGAGCGGUGGAAUGCGUAGAGAUCGAUCGGAACGCCAAGGGUGAAGACAACCGGCUGGGGCUUUCCUGACGCUGAGGCACGAAAGCGUGGGGAUCAAACAGG
This 253-nucleotide ribosomal RNA is filed under the name uncultured bacterium. Its description in RNAcentral is "partial 16S ribosomal RNA". It matches the Rfam family "Bacterial small subunit ribosomal RNA", at positions 524 to 776 of the family's 1533-position model. The record is from RNAcentral.